RNAcentral lists this ribosomal RNA (603 nucleotides) under Enterococcus faecalis. RNAcentral's name for it is "bacterial SSU rRNA". It matches the Rfam family "Bacterial small subunit ribosomal RNA", at positions 69 to 653 of the family's 1533-position model. The record is from RNAcentral. Lineage: Bacteria; Bacillati; Bacillota; Bacilli; Lactobacillales; Enterococcaceae.
CCCGAGUGCUUGCACUCAAUUGGAAAGAGGAGUGGCGGACGGGUGAGUAACACGUGGGUAACCUACCCAUCAGAGGGGGAUAACACUUGGAAACAGGUGCUAAUACCGCAUAACAGUUUAUGCCGCAUGGCAUAAGAGUGAAAGGCGCUUUCGGGUGUCGCUGAUGGAUGGACCCGCGGUGCAUUAGCUAGUUGGUGAGGUAACGGCUCACCAAGGCCACGAUGCAUAGCCGACCUGAGAGGGUGAUCGGCCACACUGGGACUGAGACACGGCCCAGACUCCUACGGGAGGCAGCAGUAGGGAAUCUUCGGCAAUGGACGAAAGUCUGACCGAGCAACGCCGCGUGAGUGAAGAAGGUUUUCGGAUCGUAAAACUCUGUUGUUAGAGAAGAACAAGGACGUUAGUAACUGAACGUCCCCUGACGGUAUCUAACCAGAAAGCCACGGCUAACUACGUGCCAGCAGCCGCGGUAAUACGUAGGUGGCAAGCGUUGUCCGGAUUUAUUGGGCGUAAAGCGAGCGCAGGCGGUUUCUUAAGUCUGAUGUGAAAGCCCCCGGCUCAACCGGGGAGGGUCAUUGGAAACUGGGAGACUUGAGGCAGAAG